AAUAUAACACAGAUGGCCUGU
RNAcentral lists this microRNA (21 nucleotides) under Dasypus novemcinctus (nine-banded armadillo). Its description in RNAcentral is "dno-miR-410-3p". Its record names the gene dno-miR-410-3p. The record is from miRBase by way of RNAcentral. RNAcentral also lists the same sequence under 25 other names. Lineage: Eukaryota; Metazoa; Chordata; Mammalia; Cingulata; Dasypodidae.